UACGUAGGGGGCAAGCGUUGUUCGGAAUUACUGGGCGUAAAGGGCGCGUAGGCGGCCCGCUAAGUCGAACGUGAAAUCCCCGGGCUCAACCCGGGAACUGCGUCCGAUACUGGUGGGCUUGAAUCCGGGAGAGGGAUGCGGAAUUCCAGGUGUAGCGGUGAAAUGCGUAGAUAUCUGGAGGAACACCGGUGGCGAAGGCGGCAUCCUGGACCGGUAUUGACGCUGAGGCGCGAAAGCCAGGGGAGCAAACGGG
This 253-nucleotide ribosomal RNA is filed under the name uncultured bacterium. Its description in RNAcentral is "partial 16S ribosomal RNA". It matches the Rfam family "Bacterial small subunit ribosomal RNA", at positions 524 to 776 of the family's 1533-position model. The record is from RNAcentral.